RNAcentral lists this ribosomal RNA (497 nucleotides) under uncultured bacterium. Its description in RNAcentral is "partial 16S ribosomal RNA". It matches the Rfam family "Bacterial small subunit ribosomal RNA", at positions 28 to 507 of the family's 1533-position model. The record is from RNAcentral.
GAUGAACGCUGGCGGCGUGCCUAAUACAUGCAAGUCGAGCGAACAGACGAGGAGCUUGCUCCUCUGACGUUAGCGGCGGACGGGUGAGUAACACGUGGAUAACCUACCUAUAAGACUGGGAUAACUUCGGGAAACCGGAGCUAAUACCGGAUAAUAUAUUGAACCGCAUGGUUCAAUAGUGAAAGACGGUUUUGCUGUCACUUAUAGAUGGAUCCGCGCCGCAUUAGCUAGUUGGUAAGGUAACGGCUUACCAAGGCAACGAUGCAUAGCCGACCUGAGAGGGUGAUCGGCCACACUGGAACUGAGACACGGUCCAGACUCCUACGGGAGGCAGCAGUAGGGAAUCUUCCGCAAAGGGCGAAAGCCUGACGGAGCAACGCCGCGUGAGUGAUGAAGGUCUUCGGAUCGUAAAACUCUGUUAUUAGGGAAGAACAUAUGUGUAAGUAACUGUGCACAUCUUGACGGUACCUAAUCAGAAAGCCACGGCUAACUACGUG